Nothobranchius furzeri (turquoise killifish) is the source of this 1104-nucleotide long non-coding RNA. RefSeq lists it as uncharacterized. NCBI's taxonomy places the organism in Eukaryota, Metazoa, Chordata, Actinopteri, Cyprinodontiformes, Nothobranchiidae. The record is from RefSeq and is a predicted model, not a curated record.
CUUGUUUCUGUAGCAGUUUUUGCGGCCAUUCUGGUCACCUGUGGGUGUUGCUGUAUCCCCUGUUUACGUCAGCCGUUGCAACGCCUCAUCAAAACUGCUAUUUCUCCCUCUCCUCUAUCUGACCCCGUCCUCGCGUUGCCUCUCCUUACCACCGGUGACAUUGAUGUCUCCACUGGCCAGGACCCACCACCCCCUGUACCUCUUCCCCUGCAUGUUUACGUCGACCCGGCCUCCUCUUUCGUGGAUAGCGAUUCGGAUUCUGACGACUUGAUUGCUCUGAAAGAUACUUGCCUUUACCCAUGAAACUAACCAUUAGUCGAUUACACCCUGGCUACUCAAUAUCCUUCAAGCCAUCCUCUGAAGCUUGCUUCGUUUUAGAGCUGAAACAACUAAUCGAUUUAAUCGAUUAUAAUCGAUUAUUAAAAUAGUUAACAACUUUUUUAGUCAUCGAUUAGUUGUUUAAUAAUCAUAUUUUACCGCAUAAAGUCUAUUUUUUACCACAAUCUGACAUCGGUUACAAUCUGUUAAAUUUGCCGCCAGUGUGUGGCAGUAAUGAGCCACUGAUCUACCAGUGGGGCCGUAGAAGAAGAAAUUAGCCAAUAAGUGCCCUCGGUUUUCAUGACGUAUCACGUUACUGACGCGCAUCUUGCAGUGAGAGAUGGCGGAUCAACAACAAAUACGGAAGAAAAUAGAAGCGACAAAACAAGAGAAACCCCGGACAAAAACCUCACGAGUAUGGGAGCACUUCACUAGAUGCCUUGAAAAGACCGGUGACCUACAAAAUUUGCAAAAACCAUGGCACGACGGAAGCACGACGUCUCUAAGUGAACAUUUGAGAUGAAAACAUGGGGGCUGAUGCAGCAGAGGAAAGUCCGAAAAAAACAAGCAACGAUGGACAACUACAUGGGGAACAAGACACUCACCCCCAGCAAUGCAUACCACUUACAAACUCUAUUCCAGGUUUUACAUUAUUUUUUAUGGAAUUUACCUCUUAUAUUUUGAUGCCAAAAAAUUAUUCUGGACUGAUAUUUUGCACUGUUUAGCUCAUUUUACACUGCUGACUGUGGUCAUGUGCAAUAAAAUAGAUUGCAGUCAACUGCACAA